RNAcentral lists this ribosomal RNA (460 nucleotides) under uncultured Actinomyces sp. Its description in RNAcentral is "bacterial SSU rRNA". It matches the Rfam family "Bacterial small subunit ribosomal RNA", at positions 338 to 795 of the family's 1533-position model. Lineage: Bacteria; Bacillati; Actinomycetota; Actinomycetes; Actinomycetales; Actinomycetaceae. The record is from RNAcentral.
CCUACGGGGGGCAGCAGUGGGGAAUAUUGCACAAUGGGCGCAAGCCUGAUGCAGCGACGCCGCGUGAGGGAUGGAGGCCUUCGGGUUGUGAACCUCUUUCGCCAGUGAAGCAGGCCUGUCCCUUGUGGGUGGGUUGACGGUAGCUGGAUAAGAAGCGCCGGCUAACUACGUGCCAGCAGCCGCGGUAAUACGUAGGGCGCGAGCGUUGUCCGGAAUUAUUGGGCGUAAAGAGCUCGUAGGCGGCUGGUCGCGUCUGUCGUGAAAUCCUCUGGCUUAACUGGGGGCUUGCGGUGGGUACGGGCCGGCUUGAGUGCGGUAGGGGAGACUGGAACUCCUGGUGUAGCGGUGGAAUGCGCAGAUAUCAGGAAGAACACCGGUGGCGAAGGCGGGUCUCUGGGCCGUUACUGACGCUGAGGAGCGAAAGCGUGGGGAGCGAACAGGAUUAGAUACCCUGGUAGUC